This 280-nucleotide non-coding RNA is filed under the name Clostridium disporicum. RNAcentral describes it as "T-box sequence". It matches the Rfam family "T-box leader". Rfam says of the family: Uncharged tRNA acts as the effector for transcription antitermination of genes in the T-box leader family. The record is from RNAcentral. Lineage: Bacteria; Bacillati; Bacillota; Clostridia; Eubacteriales; Clostridiaceae.
AUAAAAACUGUGAAAAAGAGGAGUAAGAAUAGGAAGUAUUAAGAGAGGAGGGCCUUGGCUGUAAGCCUUCUAUAUGAAAUAUUCUGAAGGUAGCUUUUGAGUUUCUUAGCUGAAAUUAUAGUAAGUUAAGACGGCUAAUCUAGUCGUUAUUAAAUUAAGAGCCUGAGAUUUAAAAAGGAAAUAUCUAUUCAUAUUUAGUAGAUGUAAGUUCCAUUAUCUAAAUUAAAAUUUAGAGUGUCACUCAGGAAUAAAGGUGGUACCGCGAGUCUUCGUCCUUUUU